RNAcentral lists this ribosomal RNA (432 nucleotides) under uncultured bacterium. RNAcentral's name for it is "partial 16S ribosomal RNA". It matches the Rfam family "Bacterial small subunit ribosomal RNA", at positions 29 to 507 of the family's 1533-position model. The record is from RNAcentral.
AACGAACGCUGGCGGCAUGCCUAACACAUGCAAGUCGAACGAGACCUUCGGGUCUAGUGGCGCACGGGUGCGUAACGCGUGGGAACCUGCCCUUAGGUUCGGAAUAACUCCCCGAAAGGGGUGCUAAUACCGGAUAAUGUCUUCGGACCAAAGAUUUAUCGCCUUUGGAUGGGCCCGCGUUGGAUUAGCUAGUUGGUAGGGUAAAAGCCUACCAAGGCGACGAUCCAUAGCUGGUCUGAGAGGAUGAUCAGCCACACUGGGACUGAGACACGGCCCAGACUCCUACGGGAGGCAGCAGUGGGAAUAUUGGACAAUGGGCGAAAGCCUGAUCCAGCAAUGCCGCGUGAGUGAUGAAGGCCUUAGGGUUGUAAAGCUCUUUUACCCGGGAUGAUAAUGACAGUACCGGGAGAAUAAGCGCCGGCUAACUCCGUG